This 439-nucleotide ribosomal RNA is filed under the name uncultured bacterium. RNAcentral's name for it is "bacterial SSU rRNA". It matches the Rfam family "Bacterial small subunit ribosomal RNA", at positions 954 to 1414 of the family's 1533-position model. The record is from RNAcentral.
GCAAAACGCGAAGAACCUUACCACCUUUUGACAUGCCUGGACCGCCACAGAGAUGUGGCUUUCCCUUCGGGGACUGGGACACAGGUGCUGCAUGGCUGUCGUCAGCUCGUGUCGUGAGAUGUUGGGUUAAGUCCCGCAACGAGCGCAACCCUCGCCAUUAGUUGCCAUCAUUCAGUUGGGAACUCUAAUGGGACUGCCGGUGCUAAGCCGGAGGAAGGUGGGGAUGACGUCAAGUCCUCAUGGCCCUUACAGGGUGGGCUACACACGUGCUACAAUGGCGACUACAGAGGGUUAAUCCUUAAAAGUCGUCUCAGUUCGGAUUGUCCUCUGCAACUCGAGGGCAUGAAGUUGGAAUCGCUAGUAAUCGCGGANUACAGCAUGCCGCGGUGAAUACGUUCCCGGGUCUUGUACACACCGAGUCUUGUACACACCGAGUCGU